Molecule: ribosomal RNA, 305 nt
Filed under: uncultured bacterium
Lineage: Bacteria
Description: bacterial SSU rRNA
Rfam family: Bacterial small subunit ribosomal RNA
Source: RNAcentral
GACUCCCUACGGGGGGCAGCAGUGGGGAAUAUUGGGCAAUGGGCGCAAGCCUGACCCAGCAACGCCGCGUGAAGGAAGAAGGCUUUCGGGUUGUAAACUUCUUUUAUGAGGGACGAAACAAAUGACGGUACCUCAUGAAUAAGCCACGGCUAACUACGUGCCAGCAGCCGCGGUAAUACGUAGGUGGCAAGCGUUAUCCGGAUUUACUGGGUGUAAAGGGCGUGUAGGCGGGACUGGAAGUCAGAUGUGAAAAUUAUGGGUUCAACCCAUAACCUGCAUUUGAAACUGUAGGUCUUGUGUGAUGG